AGUGAACGCUGGCGGUAGGCCUAACACAUGCAAGUCGAACGGCAGCACAGUAAGAGCUUGCUCUUACGGGUGGCGAGUGGCGGACGGGUGAGGAAUACAUCGGAAUCUACUUUUUCGUGGGGGAUAACGUAGGGAAACUUACGCUAAUACCGCAUACGACCUACGGGUGAAAGCAGGGGAUCUUCGGACCUUGCGCGAUUGCAUGAGCCGAUGUCGGAUUAGCUAGUUGGCGGGGUAAAGGCCCACCAAGGCGACGAUCCGUAGCUGGUCUGAGAGGAUGAUCAGCCACACUGGAACUGAGACACGGUCCAGACUCCUACGGGAGGCAGCAGUGGGGAAUAUUGGACAAUGGGGGCAAGCCUGAUCCAGCCAUACCGCGUGGGUGAAGAAGGCCUUCGGGUUGUAAAGCCCUUUUGUUGGGAAAGAAAAGCAGCAGGUUAAUACCCCGCUGUUCUGACGGUACCCAAAGAAUAAGCACCGGCUAACUUCGUG
Molecule: ribosomal RNA, 492 nt
Filed under: uncultured bacterium
Lineage: Bacteria
Description: partial 16S ribosomal RNA
Rfam family: Bacterial small subunit ribosomal RNA
Source: RNAcentral